UGGACUGCAGGCCUUCAGCAGUCUGGGGGGAUUUGGGUAUUUGUGAGAGUCAGAUACAAACCUGAAUGCCAAGAGUUGGAGAGGCUCUAAUGAAUGACAUCUCGAUGAAAAGCUCAGUGAAGCUUGUCACUGAUAAACAUGGAAGUGAUGCACCUGAGGAAAAAUAGCUCCCUACUUACAGCAGGUUAAACUGCAAAUUAACUGUUCCCUGGAGGUGAGAGUCUUGCUGUUCAAACUCAACAGAGGGUGGAAAGAUAAUUGUAAUAUUAGGUGUUAUUAGGAAACAAAUAGAAGAAGAAAACAAGAGCUAUUUUUGUAUCACAGGAUACAUCCAUGAUGUUGCCUUAUUUUGACCUCAGCAUGGAUUUUAGGAAAUAGCAAGAGGAGCAGAUACAAAGCUCAGCCUCUUUAUUUUCCUUUCUUCUGCUUUAUACUCCAAAUAACCAGCAAUGUGGAAUAGCCAGAAGAGGUUAAAUAGCCAAGAAUUCUUAAGCUCAAAGAAGAAAUAAUGACUGGAGAUAUAGGACUGGGCAACAACAAAAAAAAAAGAUAAAAUCAAAUAUGAUGUGGAAAGCGUAGAUAGGAAAUGACUGCUUCUCUCAGAGCUUUCUUAUAACAGGGAGCCCAGUGCAAUUACCAGGUAUGAGAAUUUAAAAUAAGCAAAAGGAAGUACAUUUUAACACAGCACGGAAUUAAACUGUGAAACUCCCCCACAAUCCUGGGAACAGCUCACUCUGAAUAUUUUGCUGCUUAACAGUAGCCUUUGCAUACCAGACAGCUCAAAUGCACAGCAGUGCAUGAGGGAGUAGUUGCAGUUCUCUGCUAAAGAACUGGUGUCUCCUUUCAAAUCUUGCCCCAGCCCCCUCACCGUCCCACUGUGCCCUUUGUUGGUGGCAGCACGUGUGCUCUCCAGGGUGCACAUGCAGCAGGAGCAGCUUUACUGGGAGCCUAAUUCCUCAGUUACCCAGCAGUGUCCCAGACACCACUAUGCUUCAGGAUUAGCUGGGUUUAAAGGGUCAUGUCCCUGGCUCACAAUCCUGGAGUGGCAGACUGGCCAGGCCCAGGCUCCCUCAUGGGGCAGGCAGAGGGCUUACACCCCCACUGCCAAAGCACUCUACAUCCUACAGAAGUAUUUCCUUGCAUCUGCUUGGGUGGCAACAUGGGUCUAUUCUCAUUUCUUCCAUAAUUUUGGUACAUAUUUUCCAGAGCUCACUGUAUUCCCAUUCAUGUCCUUCCUGCUUCUGUUCUAGCUCUAAUUUCCCUUUACCUCUCUCCUUUCUCCCAGCCUCCACGUGCCUCCCAACCCCUGUAUAAAUAAUUUGUAUUCUUUUCAAAAAUAGCCCAAGUCCCCUCUGUAUAAUCUGCUACACUCAGAUUGCAUUUCCAAAAAUACUGAACAAAUGCCACAGACAGACAGACAUGCCGUGGCAGCAGAUCUUGCUCCCACUUUGACCCUGGGUAGAGUUCCAGCUCCUGCUGGCUGGAGAUGGCUUCAGUUCAGUGGUCACACGUAUCCCCUUGAGCAGUUUGGGUCACAUGAAACCGGGCUGGGGAGAAACCUCCUUAUCCAGCUUUUCUGCUGCUCACUGCCUGGUGCACCACACGCGUCUGUCAGGGCAGCUCAGCUCUUCCUUUAAUGCCGUUUUCCCUGCGGCUUCCUCGGAGUGCCAGGGAGGGAGCUGUGAGAUGGAUGUCCAGCCGCAGGGGUCAGGGAGCUGUGAGAUGGAUGUCCAGCCGCAGGGAUCAGCGAGGGGGCAGCGGGAGCAGCCGGCCCGCUCCCCUUCCCGCUGAGUGCCGGGCUCGGGGCAGUCUGAGCGCUGAGAACAGCAGUUCAGAGCCCCAGGAAGUGGCGACACUGAGCUCAGCCCCUGCACCAGCACAUGCUGCUUGUUCUGAGCCUGCCCAAGGAUGCGUGAGGCCUUCAGCAUGGUCAGGAAAGCCAGGCUUUAAACAGGGCUCCCGAAACUUAAUUGCAUAUGGAAGUGACACAAAGAGCUGCUCCCAGAAAUGUAUACUGCUGUGCUGUAAGUCCAGCUCUGUGUUAAUUAUUAAGGAGUGGUAUUUUUAGUCAGUAUUUGCAAUAGAUUCCACGUGUCUGAAACCUCGUUCCCGUGAAAGUUCAUCACAAUGUCAAGUAUUUAAUUAAUUUUAAUCUUUAUUUUAAAGGUGUUACUGCAGCUAGUAGAAAUGUUCCUAAAAACCCCUUUGAUUCCUUUCCGGCCCCCUCGCCAUGGGGAAGGCUAAACAAUGGUAUAUGAGUUUUAUCCAUGCUUUCUAACAUCACAGAGUGGCAAGUUUGCCCAGAAUAUGAAUAAAAAUCCUUAGAAGGGAGGAGGCAGGAACAGUUGGUUUACAAGAAGAUGGAGAUUCUUUCAAAGAAAUGUAUAAAUGUCUUAAGUUCAACAAAUAAUCUGCAAUUCUGCCAGGAAAAAAAUGAAUACUUUUAAAAACAAAUUAAAAAAUAAUUGCAACAGUUGCAAUCUUUCUUACAAAAGAAAUUAAAAUCCUUAAACAGUUGGCAGCUCUUGGUAUUAUUUACCUAAAUUCAUAGACUAAUUUACAUGUAAGAGUACAUUACCAUGACAACUUUUAAAUCUUGCUGAAUUCUCUUCUUACUAACUCUGAGUGCACUUUGAGUUGGACUGUGACAACGUGGACUAGGCUUAAAGCAUAUUACCCUCAAAAUCUUGUUUAUGAAGAGAGAGAAAACAAAUCAUAUAUACAAAGCCAAGAAUUUAUUGUUAGUAUGGUUGAAAUCUCACGUUUAAUCUAAGAAUCCUUAUUAGCCUAGACUUAAUUAUUACAGAAGAAGAAAAAACGCUUUUAUAUGCAAAGAAUUGAAAUAAUAAUAAUAUAACAAUAACACAGCUAAAACUGAAUACUCACAAUUCCUAGAUUCUUGCCCCUUUCCUGGUGCUGCACUCAUCCUGCCACUGCUCCUCGAGGUCCUCAGCUUGCUGCCUUCAGUGCAGAGGUGGGGGUCUGCUAAGGCUGGUCACCAGCAUGUGGGGUCUUUUGGCUGGGAGGGAUGUGAAGAUGGCUGCAUCUUUCUCACUCCAUGAUUCACUUGGGGUCUUUUUUAUGUUUGCCAACAGGCUUUCACACCUUGCUGCUUCCUCACUGGUUUGCAACCCACAUGAUAUCCAAAUUUACCAUACGUGAUGCAUCUUGCACAUGCUAGAAACUUGUUCUUUGUUCUGCUAUCCAUGAAAAGGUGGUUUUAUCUAACUCCUGGUCUGUAUUUUUUAAUGGAAAACAAUUAUUGUUUUGUUCAUAGAUGUGGGGUCUCCAGUGGCAAACCCCCAUCUUUUGUCAUCUUCUGCCUGUGUUCUUCCUCACUGUAUCCUGUGUCUACACCUUUCCAGGCCUCUGCUAUCACCCCAGGAGCCAUGCCCGGUUUUCACUGGAAGCAUCGAGAGGCUGGGAAUCUCUCCGUGGCUACAGCUGAACUUUGUAUCGGGGGUGGGAAGCAGUAGUCCUGAUGUGCCUUCAGCCAGGAGGGGCCGAGGCACAGCUUGGCAGGCAGGAGACAGUGGUUUGUGCUUGGCCAGAGGCCUCUCAAGCAACUUGGACCAAGAGUCCUUUGACGUUCCCCAACCUGGGGUGCUCCAGAAAGUCCAUCCAAGUUAAAGAAAGGCAAGGCUGCACCAGCUAGAACUUCAUUAAACCUGCAGCACGGCUGCUAA
This is a long non-coding RNA of Pseudopipra pipra, 3686 nucleotides long. RefSeq lists it as uncharacterized. The record is from RefSeq and is a predicted model, not a curated record. NCBI's taxonomy places the organism in Eukaryota, Metazoa, Chordata, Aves, Passeriformes, Pipridae. The transcript has 2 exons.